Long non-coding RNA from Carya illinoinensis, 2263 nucleotides. RefSeq lists it as uncharacterized. The transcript has 2 exons. The record is from RefSeq and is a predicted model, not a curated record. NCBI's taxonomy places the organism in Eukaryota, Viridiplantae, Streptophyta, Magnoliopsida, Fagales, Juglandaceae.
UCUCGUCUUCUUUUGGUGGAUGUUACUUUAGUAUCUUGUUUAUGCAUCUGUAUGUGCCAGUGGAGCCGCCUCAGGAUUUUUUUUCCGUACUAGAUUCGAUGGUUAGCCACCAAAUUCAGAACUUCACUUCCCCUACACAACAUCUCAUUACCCACCAAUAAUUCAUCACUCUUUAUUCUUUAACGGUAUCAACUUUAUAUACAUAUAUAUAAUACAUCCCUCUUUCUCCCUUCAAUCCUCGUAAAAACUCUCAGUAUGUUUGCCAGGUUUUGGCGUUCCAAUUCUGAUCUUUCAACACUUAAACAUGUUCACCUUAUCAAUUAGUGGGUGGAUAUUAAAAGAUAUCCUGAUGGGUUUUGUUUUUUGGUCUGUACUGGUACAGUUUGGGUGGGUCUGGUUUGUAUAGUUCCAUAAUGAUUCAUUGGGCUGGAAUGUUUUGCUUUCUCUAAUUCUUCUAUUCCUUUUCUUUACCUUUCCCUCGUGGUUAGCCUUCUUUUUUAAGGGUUAAGGUUUCUUGCAUGGGAAGAUCAUCAUCAGUUCACCAGCCAGUAUUGGCGGGUGCAGCAUCCUUAAGAUUCACAAACUUCAAGGGACGCUUUGUUUACUCUUACUCGAAGUUUUCUGUCUUGUGGGAAUCUUGAUGAUGCUGCAUCCGCAAAUAUGUGGCUACGCUCCACUUUUGAGUUUCAAAUAGACAAGCCUACAGUUUGAUCUGGCUGGUCUUUGUGAAUUCGAAAGGAUGAAGAUAACCAGGAAAUGUGAAGGUAACAGUACCAGUUCUUUCUUCUUCUUCUUCUGCUUCCUCCAGUUUGAUCCAUGCGGGCUUUCUGAUUUUCGAUUCUAUGUUACAACUCUGGUGUGGAAUGAGUUGAAAUGCUAACUGAGGGAAAUUUGAUGAAUGAACUGCUGCUGAUCAUGCUCGGUUUUGACAAAUACAAGCUAAACAGCAGUAAGCAGAGCUGAAGUUUGUGAGAUUCUUGCUUAUUCAUAUUUUCAUGAAUUAUUUAUGUACUGAUCUUUUUAUGUUGAAUAACCGUCAACUUCUACCAAUUAAAUUUAACGAUAAGAUUUUGAAAGAACCACUGAUAAUUAUACCAUUAUGAAUUAUCAUGUGUUCUUGCCUGUUAAAAUAUUGAUUUUUUCUAAAGCCACUGAGUCAGAACGCCUGAUAAAUACCAUUUAUUUCCUUUUUGUUCUAGUCCGAAAUCUAUCUAUGGCUUAUUGGCCAUUAAAGUCCUCUCUAGCUAGCUAACCAGCUUAAGGGACAUGGAAAACAAUACGGGAUUCAUGUCAAGUGAGUCUGUUUUCUGAAUCCUUUCCAUCGUUGGCACUCCGAUUCAUGUAUUUGUUACUCUCUGCCCAACAAUUUAAAAUCCUCACGGCUAUCAUAAUUAUGUGUUUUUAAGAUAAAUUUGUAGUUCUGCUGAUUGUUUGAUUCCUUAUAGCAAGCCAAUUUUGGCACAUAUAGCCAAAAAUAUUAGAAAUUAAAAGAUAUAUAUAUAUCAUGCUUUGUAGCACAAAGACUUGAGCAUUGCUAUAUAUAUUCUGGUAAAAGCAUCUUAGAUUUUUUUUUUUCACUCUUAACUAUGUUAAUGCUAUUUACUUUACCUAAAGAUAAGCUGUUGAAGUAUAUGGCUCAUACACUGAAGUAGGCAGAUGGAGGGUAAGAUUUUAGAAUGUAUAUGGGGAAGCCUUCUCAAAGAAACGAAAGGUUGUAAUCAGGAAGAAAUCCGAAACGAUGUGAUUCUUUUACAUGUGAUUCCAUAUUCUUCUUCUCAGUUGAUAAAACUACAUAUAUUCUGUAUGGGAAUUACUCAGCAUUACGUGAUUCUUUUAGUCUAGCAUAACACCAAGAAAUUUGAUGAAGAUAGUAUAGUUCUUCAAGUUUCAUUUUGGCAACUGCCAAAAGAAGGGAAAAAGGAAAAGAAAAGACCAAAGAAGAAGAGGAAGAAGAAGAGGAAUGGUGAUCCGGAGAUGAAAAUGGUUAUUAUAAAAGGGCAGAGGCUGAAUGUUUUCACAAAAAAAAAAUCUAAGAUGUGGCUUUCAGGUUCUGCUGAACCUCUAGUCUCCAUACCAUUUUAUUAGGAGCUUGGUCGGUGCAUGGCAAUUCCUUCGAGUUCAGAAUACAGAAUCUCAAGAAAAAAGAACGAAGUUUUUCAAGCUGUUGUAUUUAUUUUGCUGAGAAUUAUAUUUAACAGAACUCUGAUUGGAAUGGAGCAUUUGUAUGUUUAUAUCAUUAUAAACAAAUUAGAGAUUGUAACCU